UUCCUCUCAGUUGGAAAAAACAUCCUUACUCCAAAUUGUGCCGUCGACCACUCUUGCAAGUCGCUUUCGCCGACGGCCUAUGAGCGGUUGUGCGAAGGCUCCUCUUACUCCCACUCCCAAACGAAUCUUGAAGAGUUUUGGAGGAUUUUUCGAUGGCUACUUCUAACUUCAGUUUUCGGGGCAUUAAGAAUUUGUGGAAGAGUUAUG
This 207-nucleotide long non-coding RNA is filed under the name Erythranthe guttata (spotted monkey flower). RNAcentral describes it as "long non-coding RNA (EGUT_LNC001254)". Lineage: Eukaryota; Viridiplantae; Streptophyta; Magnoliopsida; Lamiales; Phrymaceae. The record is from RNAcentral.